Molecule: ribosomal RNA, 325 nt
Filed under: uncultured eukaryote
Lineage: Eukaryota
Description: partial 18S ribosomal RNA
Rfam family: Eukaryotic small subunit ribosomal RNA
Source: RNAcentral
CCCUUAGAUGUUCUGGGCCGCACGUGCGCUACACUGAUGCAUUCAACAAGUUCUACCUUGGCCGAGAGGCCUGGGAAAUCUUUCAAAUAUGUAUCGUGAUAGGGAUAGAUUAUUGCAAUUAUUAAUCUUGAACGAGGAAUUCCUAGUAAAUGCAGAUCAUCAUUCUGCGUUGAUUACGUCCCUGCCCUUUGUACACACCGCCCGUCGCACCUACCGAUUGAAUGAUCCGGUGAAGCCUCGGGAUUGUGCCCAGAGAACUUUAUUGUGAUUUGGGUGUGAGAACUUGUCUAAACCUUAUCAUUUAGAGGAAGGUGAAGUCGUAACA